AAACACGAGGAAACCUAAGAUACACACUAACUUCAGUAAAGCUGCUGUGUAAAUGGCAUUUAAAAUCACUGUUAUCACCACUGACAGAGAUGACGUCAGCUCUUUGCCACCUGAGUAAAUAAAUAUUUAUAAGGUGCUGUAAGUCUGAAGAAUGUCACACUGCUCCAAUAGACUUCAUUUUCAGGCAAGAGUGAAAUAGGCAACCACAAGAACCCCGUCACCACAUUUGAUGGGUUGUCCAUUCUCUUCUCUAAUACAGCAGCACUGGGUUCAAUACCGAGGGCAAACCACGCAACCAAACCGUCCUCCUCUUCCUCUGGGACUCCUCCCGCCUGGGCGGGUGAGCCUUUCCUCAUCUCAAGCUCGACUCCAAGGAACACCAAGAAACUGGACCACAUCGGGAUGCCCGUUCCUGGAGGCAUACAUUAAAGCAGUCCAUCCAUUUUCAGAAGUCUCAUUGACAAGAGAUGGAGAAUGACUGAGUAUUCCUGCUACCUUGGCGAGAUUUCCUUCUGCGGCUGAACUGUGGAGUUCAGAAAUCAUCUCCCUUUUGGGAUUUCUUUUAACAGAAGACAUUUCUUCCUUAAAAAAAAAAGAGAGAGAGAGAGAGAAGUGAGAAAGACCUUAUUGACAAUUGCUCUUCGCUUGAAUGGAUGAACAUUAUUUAGAUGCUGAUCUUGGAAAGGCAGCAUGUUUCCAAACCAGUACACCUGUCAAAAGAUAAUUCAUAGUCAACUGCUACUGCAGUACAGAAGGGGGACCGAGCCGGGGCACAGAGUGGAGGGGGUUAAAGCAGAGAGAAUUAGAGGCCGACGCUUAUGGAGAUGUACUUGCAGGUUCAACCCAGAGCCUUGUCUCCUGGAUUUUGAAACAGCAAUGUGGCUAGUCAAAUCCACAGCCUAGUCUGCAUAAAGUUCAGGAAAACAACGGGUCCAAGAUUAACUUUC
RNAcentral lists this long non-coding RNA (947 nucleotides) under Mus caroli (Ryukyu mouse). RNAcentral's name for it is "lncRNA (MGP_CAROLIEiJ_G0003039.1)". The record is from RNAcentral. Lineage: Eukaryota; Metazoa; Chordata; Mammalia; Rodentia; Muridae.